ACUUUUUAUGUGAAUGUGAUGUAUAUUUUAGAAGUUAUGAAUAUGCUGUAAAAACUGUAUUUUUCCUGCCUGUGAUAAUUGCAUCUUCUAUUGUAUAAGAUAAUUGAAUCACAGGCAGAGGGGAGGAUUUUGUGUGGGCUGUAACCUGUUUUAUUGGCUACUGUAGAUAACGUGUGUGUCCCUCCCCUGCAUGGGAGCAGGGCAUAAAAGAAACUGUAGCUUGAAU
This is a non-coding RNA of Pelobates cultripes (western spadefoot toad), 226 nucleotides long. The record is from the annotation of a GenBank genome assembly. NCBI's taxonomy places the organism in Eukaryota, Metazoa, Chordata, Amphibia, Anura, Pelobatidae.